Molecule: ribosomal RNA, 616 nt
Filed under: uncultured bacterium
Lineage: Bacteria
Description: bacterial SSU rRNA
Rfam family: Bacterial small subunit ribosomal RNA
Source: RNAcentral
UCCGGCGGCACGGGAUGGGCCCGCGCCCGAUUAGCCAGUUGGCGGGGUAACGGCCCACCAAAGCGACGAUCGGUAGCCGGCCUGAGAGGGCGGACGGCCACAUUGGGACUGAGACACGGCCCAAACUCCUACGGGAGGCAGCAGUGGGGAAUAUUGCACAAUGGGGGAAACCCUGAUGCAGCAACGCCGCGUGGGUGAAGGAGCGUUUCGGCGCGUAAAGCCCUGUCAGCGGGGAAGAAGAAAGACGGUACCCGACCAAGAAGCCCCGGCCAACUACGUGCCAGCAGCCGCGGUAAUACGUAGGGGGCGAGCGUUAUCCGGAAUUACUGGGUGUAAAGGGAGCGUAGACGGCGAGGUAAGCCUGAAGUGGAAGCCCGCGGCCCAACCGCGGAACUGCUUUGGGAACUGUUUUGCUGGAGUAUGGGAGGGGUAAGCGGAAUUCCUGGUGUAGCGGUGAAAUGCGUAGAUAUCAGGAGGAACACCGGUGGCGAAGGCGGCUUACUGGACCAUAACUGACGUUGAGGCUCGAAAGCGUGGGGAGCGAACAGGAUUAGAUACCCUGGUAGUCCACGCCGUAAACGAUGAUUACCAGGUGUCGGGUGUCGAAGGACGGCCG